This 220-nucleotide ribosomal RNA is filed under the name uncultured bacterium. RNAcentral describes it as "partial 16S ribosomal RNA". It matches the Rfam family "Bacterial small subunit ribosomal RNA", at positions 335 to 538 of the family's 1533-position model. The record is from RNAcentral.
ACUCCUACGGGAGGCAGCAGUGGGGAAUAUUGCACAAUGGGCGCAAGCCUGAUGCAGCCAUGCCGCGUGUGUGAAGAAGGCCUUCGGGUUGUAAAGCACUUUCAGUCGUGAGGAAGGGUGAUAGUGUCAGUUUGAAAUAGCUGCAUUAUUUUGACGUUAGCGACAGAAGAAGCACCGGCUAACUCCGUGCCAGCAGCCGCGGUAAUACGGAGGGUGCGAG